ACUCAUCACAAGGGGAGCCGUUUUUGGCUGAGAUUGAGCGCUUGCUCUGGACUCUUUGAACCUGAACUCGUUAGGACGAGCGGAGGGAUGUGAUUGAUAUGUUUU
This 105-nucleotide non-coding RNA is filed under the name Pseudolactococcus raffinolactis. RNAcentral describes it as "Lactococcus raffinolactis TPP sequence". It matches the Rfam family "TPP riboswitch aptamer (THI element)". Rfam says of the family: Vitamin B(1) in its active form thiamin pyrophosphate (TPP) is an essential coenzyme that is synthesised by coupling of pyrimidine and thiazole moieties in bacteria. The previously detected thiamin-regulatory element, thi box was extended, resulting in a new, highly conserved RNA secondary structure, the THI element, which is widely distributed in eubacteria and also occurs in some archaea. Analysis of operon structures identified a large number of new candidate thiamin-regulated genes, mostly transporters, in various prokaryotic organisms. The record is from RNAcentral. Lineage: Bacteria; Bacillati; Bacillota; Bacilli; Lactobacillales; Streptococcaceae.